This 651-nucleotide ribosomal RNA is filed under the name uncultured bacterium. RNAcentral's name for it is "bacterial SSU rRNA". It matches the Rfam family "Bacterial small subunit ribosomal RNA", at positions 28 to 674 of the family's 1533-position model. The record is from RNAcentral.
AUUGAACGCUGGCGGCGUGCCUAACACAUGCAAGUCGAGCGGUAACGCGGGAGCAAUCCUGGCGACGAGCGGCGAACGGGUGAGUAAUGCUUCGGAAUCUGCCCAGUAGUGGGGAAUAACCAGCCGAAAGGUUGGCUAAUACCGCAUACGACCUACGGGUGAAAGCAGGGGAUCGCAAGACCUUGCGCUAUUGGAUGAGCCGAAGUCGGAUUAGCUAGUUGGUAGGGUAACGGCCUACCAAGGCGACAAUCCGUAGCUGGUCUGAGAGGACGACCAGCCACACUGGGACUGAGACACGGCCCAGACUCCUACGGGAGGCAGCAGUGGGGAAUAUUGGACAAUGGGGGAAACCCUGAUCCAGCGACGCCGCGUGUGUGAAGAAGGCCUGCGGGUUGUAAAGCACUUUUAGUGGGGAUGAAAAGCUCAGGGCUAAUACCUCUGGGUCUUGACCUAACCCACAGAAAAAGCACCGGCUAACUCUGUGCCAGCAGCCGCGGUAAUACAGAGGGUGCGAGCGUUAAUCGGAAUUACUGGGCGUAAAGCGUGCGUAGACGGUUACGUAAGUCGGGUGUGAAAGCCCCGGGCUCAACCUGGGAAUUGCAUUCGAGACUGAAUAGCUAGGGUGCGGUAGAGGGAAGCGGAAUUUCCGGU